Long non-coding RNA from Sinocyclocheilus grahami, 249 nucleotides. RefSeq lists it as uncharacterized. The transcript is spliced from 4 exons. The record is from RefSeq and is a predicted model, not a curated record. NCBI's taxonomy places the organism in Eukaryota, Metazoa, Chordata, Actinopteri, Cypriniformes, Cyprinidae.
GAGCAAACUUAAUGGAACAACUUGCUGAGCUGGAUGCUGAAUACAAAAGAGUGAGCCUCAACACUUAAGGUUUGUGCUGAGUUUCACCAUAUCAGAGAAAGUGGCACACACCAGCAAGAUUUCACAGAUGCUGCAUGACAUUCGAAAUGUUUGAUCUUCAGUGUACGUGUGUGAGGAGAACUGUUCUUCAGGACAUGACAUGUAAGUAUUAAGUGCAUUAAUAGAUCUGAAAUAGAGUGGGGGAACUGA